UCUUGUGUUAGUUUUUUUUUUUUUGUUAAUUUUCCCCUUUUCUCCGUUCCUUUUUUUGUUUUCUAUUUGUUCCAGUUGCCAUUUUUUUUGUUUUUGUGCUGUCGUUCUUGGUGCAAUCGGUUGCAUGGUAUUUGAAAGAGAUUGAUCGCAAUUAAAUAUCGGCCUAUGUAUUGUUUUUUUUAUGAUGAUAAGGUUUAGUUAGUUUUCUCAUGCACAAUUGACAUUUUAAUGUACUAUGAACCUCAUUUGUUAAUCGUGUUGUUUUCUAUGUAAAGUUUGCGAGACGACUAAUCCUUCAGCGAUC
This 304-nucleotide long non-coding RNA is filed under the name Gossypium raimondii (Peruvian cotton). RNAcentral describes it as "long non-coding RNA (GRAI_LNC004882)". The record is from RNAcentral. Lineage: Eukaryota; Viridiplantae; Streptophyta; Magnoliopsida; Malvales; Malvaceae.